This 2708-nucleotide unclassified non-coding RNA is filed under the name Daphnia pulicaria. RNAcentral's name for it is "chorion peroxidase-like, transcript variant X1". The record is from RNAcentral. Lineage: Eukaryota; Metazoa; Arthropoda; Branchiopoda; Diplostraca; Daphniidae.
AAUAACAGCGAGAUGAAAAAUAAUUAACCAGUCAACGGUCUCUAAUUGUAAUGCAAGCAUCGGCAAGCAUGAUUGAUUAUUCUAACAUUUGCUUCGUUGCGCUAUUCCUCGUCAUUUGCGUAUGCCCACUGCUGCAUGCGGAACAGGUAGUUAUCACCGAUGAAGAAUUUCAGGAAGCUUUACGGGUUGGCCAAGAGUACGUAAGGAAAUGGGAGCAACUGGAAGCUCAGAUAUUGGAGGUUGAUCGAAAAAGUAGCGAACAUCAUGGAACGAGUAGAGCCGAUGAAAAGUAUCACUCGCGUCGUUUCAAUCCGCAGCGAUACAACCCGGAAGCGAUGGCCCAGUCAAAAGAAGCCGCUGUCUAUCUGGUGGCUCGGCAGUACCUGAGCGACAAGUUCGGAAUCCCAGCCGAGAAGAUUGGAGAUUUUGAACGGUCGUCUACUUUUGAAAACGAUGGCAGCGACAGGCAAAUUUGCGACUUUAACUCCAAGUUUCGCACUUUUGAUGGGACGUGUAACAACGUCGGAGUUCCAUCGUUCGGGAAAUCCGGUACCAUUUUUAACCGACUCGUUUUCAACCCGAGCGAAGGAUACGAUGACGGUGUGGCGAAGAUUCGAAGGAGCCAAUUAACGCGGAGUCCGUUGCCCAGCGCCCGUCUCGUCUCCACUACAGUUUUGAACAACAAAAUUUAUUCCCGUCUCGACGUCUCCCUUCUGACGAUGCAAUGGGGACAAUUCCUCGAUCACGACUUGACGUCGACCCCGACUUUCACCAAAAGUGAUGGAUCCGAAUUUCUGUGCUGUUCGGCCCAACAAACUGGCGUCAAUGUGGCACCUCCUCACCCAGAAUGCCUUCCCAUUGCCAUCCCAAGAAACGAUCCUGUUUUCAAUCCGUUGGGUAACGGCCAAGUGACGUGCAUGAAUUUCAUUCGCUCAACAUUUGGAAAUAAUUUGGACGGAACUGUUCCCCGAAUGCGAUCACAGAUCAACGCUUUAACACACUGGAUCGACGGCUCGAACGUUUACGGAAGUUCAGCCGCAAAAGCCAGGUCCCUGCGAGAUCCCACAUCUGGUAGAGGCCGCUUGAGGACGUCCAUCACCAAUUUAGGUCGUCAAAUGCUGCCUCUAGGCAACUGCUCAGCUCGUUGUUUUGAUGCGGGCGACAGCAGAGUGAACGAACAGCCGCUACUUACAGUGAUGCACACCAUUUGGCUUCGCGAGCACAACCGCAUCGCUGAAAACUUGUGUAGAAUUUUUCCGAGACAGACGGAUGAGUUUUAUUUCCAACACGCCCGGCGAAUCGUUAUCGCUGAAAUGCAACACAUCAUUUACAAUGAAUACUUACCCGUCAUAAUUGGUCCCAAGAUGGCUGACAAAGUUAAUUCUGAAAGUGGCUAUUCAAAUACUUUGAAUCCGGCCGUGUUUACCGAGUUCUCCACUGCCGCCUUCCGCAUGGGUCACUCUCAGCUGAGAAGCUUUAUACGACUAUUCGAGAGAGACGGGCGGGACAGUAGAGAGAGUUAUCAACUCUCAGAUUCGUUCGAUGACCCCUCUCGGCUCUUAAGUUCCAACUUCAUGGACAAUGCUCUCCGGGGACUUCUUCAAGUACCUGCCGAAGAAGUGGACAGCUUUUUUGCAUUCGAUAUUACCAGUCAACUUUUCAAGCCAAAAGGGGCAACACUCGGGCUGGAUCUGACAGCUCUCAACAUUCAACGUGGAAGAGAUCACGGCCUGCCAACAUACGGUAAAAUGUUAACAUUCUUCGGACAACCUUUCCCAUCUAGAUUCGACCAACUGCUUCCGUUAAUACCGAAGCAAGUCGUCAACGCAAUGGAUCAGUGUACGAAUCGGUACAAGACAUUGACCUGUUUAUUGGCGGAGUGACCGAAUAUCCAAUGCCUGAUGCUGUGCUCGGCCCCACAUUUGCCAAUAUCUUCGCAUAUCAAUUUUCGAAUCUGAGGCGGAGUGAUCGCUUCUUUUACAAAUUCAAUGUCGAUCAACCCACCGGUUUCAGAUCAGGUCAACUGGCAGAAAUUCAAAAAGUUUCUUUGGCGCGAAUUAUCUGCGACAACAGCGACGGGACCAUUGGUCAAAUCCCACCCAAAGCUUUCCGCACUCCCCACGAAUUAUACAACAGAUUUGUACCGUGCAGCAGCAUUCCAGGCAUCGACUUCACCAAGAUGUUUCCGCUAUAAAUAUUGAAAGAAACGCAAUGACGGGCUUUUCCUACACUGUUUGGUUUGAUAUUAUUUAGUUUAUUAAUCUCUGAAGGUGGAGGAUGCAUGGGGUACGGUGUUGGCAGCAAGAAAAACGUAUACCAAUAAAUCAAUCAAAUUGCAAUGAUUAUUCAACGCAAUUUGGUCAUGAAAAAAGAAAGAUGGAAGUUAUUACUUUUAAAUUAACGAAUUAGAAGGUAGCACAAGUUGUUAUGCCGUUUGCAUUUCCUACCCAUUAACUACGGUAUACUUAAAGGAAUAGUAAAAUACUAGAGUGCGCAAUUCGAGUAAUAUGCCCAGGGAAAACUAAACUGAACAACAAAGUCGCAUCUGCCCCAACCAACCGAAAUGACAAGUUUUUUACGCGUUUGCAGAUUGCCCUAUCCGAAUGCCUCCCCGUUGCCAUUCCGAGAAAUAAUCUGUUUUCAACAGUGUACAUUUUUAUGGGUCAAUGCCGAAUGUCCUUUCUGUCGAGUACCUUUUUUUGCCGCUG